CCCUCCCCAUCGUCAGCAUCUUUCUUUCUCUUCCCAUCCCACUCCCUUCCCCACACGCUCUCCUUCCUUCCUUCCUUCUUCGCUUCUUCCGACGCCACUUCACCUCUCCUUCCUCCCUCCCUCGCCGCCGCGGGCUGCUUCCUCCCUCCCUCCCGCCGCGUCCCGCCACUCCCGGCUGAUUACUCGAGCCGCCGCGGGGCAGAUCCGUGCCGGGAUAGGCCUCUCGCUCGCGCUUCGGUCCCCCGUCUCUUACCGGCGGAUAAACCCUAACCGGAGAGGAGGAGGAGGGGGAGGCCAUGAGGGGGAAGAAGCCGCACAAGGAGCUCAAGCUCUCCGUGCCUGCGCAGGAGACGCCCGUCGACAAGUUCCUGACCGCGAGUGGUACAUUCAAGGAUGGUGAACUGCGGCUUAAUCAAAGAGGUUUGCAGCUUAUAUCCGAGGAAACUGCAGAUGAACCUCAGUCAACAAACCUGAAGGUGGAAGAUGUUCAGUUGUCAAUGGAUGACCUUGAGAUGAUUCAAGUCAUUGGUAAGGGGAGUGGUGGUAUCGUCCAACUAGUUCGGCACAAGUGGGUGGGGACAUUAUAUGCCUUGAAGGGCAUACAAAUGAACAUUCAAGAGGCAGUUCGCAAACAAAUAGUACAAGAGCUCAAAAUAAAUCAAGCAACACAGAACGCACAUAUAGUCCUUUGCCACCAAUCUUUCUACCAUAAUGGUGUAAUAUAUCUUGUUCUAGAAUACAUGGACCGUGGAUCUCUUGCAGAUAUCAUUAAACAAGUCAAAACAAUUCUGGAGCCAUACCUGGCAGUACUUUGCAAACAGGUUUUGGAGGGUCUACUGUAUCUUCAUCAUGAAAGGCAUGUGAUUCACAGGGAUAUAAAGCCAUCUAACUUGUUAGUUAACCGUAAAGGUGAAGUAAAGAUUACCGAUUUUGGGGUAAGUGCGGUGCUAGCAAGUUCAAUGGGUCAGCGGGAUACGUUUGUUGGAACCUACAACUAUAUGGCGUUUCUACCUUUCUUCCUAGUUCAGCCUGAGCGUAUUAGUGGAAGCUCCUAUGACUACAAGAGUGACAUAUGGAGUUUGGGCUUAGUAAUACUCGAGUGUGCCAUUGGUCGGUUCCCCUAUAUACCUUCAGAAGGGGAAGGUUGGUUAAGCUUCUACGAAUUAUUAGAAGCAAUUGUUGACCAGCCACCACCCUCUGCACCAGCGGACCAGUUCUCUCCAGAAUUUUGUGCAUUUAUCUCCUCCUGUGUCUUGUGUGCUCCUAUAUCUGAUUUCAUGACUAAUCUAUAAGGAUACAAGCAUGGCUUGAGGCAUACAAAAGGAUCCUGCGGAGCGGAUGUCUGCUUCAGAACUCUUGAAUCAUCCUUUCAUCAAGAAGUUUGAGGAUAAGGAUUUAGACCUGCGCAUUCUUGUCGAGAGCCUUGAACCUCCAAUGAAUAUAUCCGAGUAACUUGUCAUUGGGAGGAAUGAGGUUUUGUCGGUCUCUUGGUAGCGGCACAUGUUCCCUGCAUGCGAUGUAGUGUGUAUGAUGUUGAAAAUUCGGGAGGAGUUGCAGUAAUGUAUCGGUAUAAUUUUUCUUUACCUAAGGCCCUUUUGUUGCCUCUUUUUAUGGUCCUGUGACUUGCGAGCAUGACAAUAGAGGGAAUCAUGAUUUCACCUUCGUAUUGCAUGGUGUCUUAUCGUA
Oryza sativa Japonica Group (Japanese rice) is the source of this 1686-nucleotide RNA transcript. It is a transcript of the gene named mitogen-activated protein kinase kinase 1-like, with no coding region annotated. The record is from RefSeq and is marked validated. NCBI's taxonomy places the organism in Eukaryota, Viridiplantae, Streptophyta, Magnoliopsida, Poales, Poaceae.